AUACGUAGGGAGCAAGCGUUGUCCGGAAUUACUGGGCGUAAAGGGUGCGUAGGUGGCUAUUUAAGUCAGGUGUGAAAGACCGGGGCUCAACUCCGGGGUUGCACUUGAAACUGGGUGGCUUGAGUACAGGAGAGGGAAGUGGAAUUCCUAGUGUAGCGGUGAAAUGCGUAGAUAUUAGGAGGAACACCAGUGGCGAAGGCGACUUUCUGGACUGUAACUGACACUGAGGCACGAAAGCGUGGGGAGC
Molecule: ribosomal RNA, 247 nt
Filed under: uncultured bacterium
Lineage: Bacteria
Description: partial 16S ribosomal RNA
Rfam family: Bacterial small subunit ribosomal RNA
Source: RNAcentral